Molecule: ribosomal RNA, 253 nt
Filed under: uncultured bacterium
Lineage: Bacteria
Description: partial 16S ribosomal RNA
Rfam family: Bacterial small subunit ribosomal RNA
Source: RNAcentral
UACAGAGGUCUCAAGCGUUGUUCGGAAUCACUGGGCGUAAAGGGUGCGUAGGCUGUGUUGUAAGUCAGAGGUGAAAUCCCGGGGCUCAACCCCGGAACUGCCUCCGAUACUGCAAGACUUGAGGACUGGAGAGGAGAUUGGAAUUCAUGGUGGAGCAGUGAAAUGCGUAGAUAUCAUGAGGAACGCUAGUGGCGUAGGCGAAUCUCUGGACAGUUCCUGACGCUGAGGCACGAAGGCCAGGGGAGCAAACGGG